AGUGAACGCUGGCGGUAGGCUUAACACAUGCAAGUCGAACGGCAGCACAGUAAGAGCUUGCUCUUACGGGUGGCGAGUGGCGGACGGGUGAGGAAUACAUCGGAAUCUACUUUUUCGGGGGGGAUAACGAAGGGAAACUUACGCUAAUACCGCAUACGACCUACGGGUGAAAGCAGGGGAACUUCGGACCUUGCGCGGUUGAAUGAGCCGAUGUCGGAUUAGCUAGUUGGCGGGGUAAAGGCCAACCAAGGCGACGAUACGUAGCUGGUCUGGGAGGAUGGUCGGCCACACUGGAACUGAGACACGGUCCAUAGUCCUACGGGAGGCAGCAGUGGCGAAUGUUGGGCAAUGGGCGCAAGCCUGAUCCAGCCAUACCGCGUGGGUGAAGAAGGCCUUCGGGGUGUAAAGCCCUUUUGUUAGGAAAGAAAAGCAGCAGGUUAAUACCCCGCUGUUCUGACGGUACCCAAAGAAUAAGCACCGGCUAACUUCGUG
RNAcentral lists this ribosomal RNA (492 nucleotides) under uncultured bacterium. RNAcentral describes it as "partial 16S ribosomal RNA". It matches the Rfam family "Bacterial small subunit ribosomal RNA", at positions 29 to 507 of the family's 1533-position model. The record is from RNAcentral.